Non-coding RNA from Mycena albidolilacea, 86 nucleotides. Lineage: Eukaryota; Fungi; Basidiomycota; Agaricomycetes; Agaricales; Mycenaceae. The record is from the annotation of a GenBank genome assembly.
AGUAGCUUGGCUCAGUGGUUAGACCCUGGAGUCAGAGCAUCUUAAGCGUAAUAAGGAGGUCCCAGGUUCGAUUCCUGGAGCAACCA